UACAGGGGGGGCAAGCGUUGUUCGGAAUUACUGGGCGUAAAGGGCCAGUAGGCGGCCAACUAAGUCCGACGUGAAAUCCCCAGGCUUAACCUGGGAACUGCGUCGGAUACUGGAUGGCUUGAAUUCGGGAGAGGGAUGCAGAAUUCCAGGUGUAGCGGUGAAAUGCGUAGAUAUCUGGAGGAAUACCGGUGGCGAAGGCGGCAUCCUGGACCGACAUUGACGCUGAAUGACGAAAGCUAGGGGAGCAAACGGG
Molecule: ribosomal RNA, 253 nt
Filed under: uncultured bacterium
Lineage: Bacteria
Description: partial 16S ribosomal RNA
Rfam family: Bacterial small subunit ribosomal RNA
Source: RNAcentral